GUAGGAAUUUCCCCUAUAGUCCAUUUGCCUGAUAGUCCUCAUUAGAAAUCUCUACUUCUCUAGAGAUUUUUGUUUUAAUUAGAAAGAUUUGACUCUCCAAAUAUUCCACUGGCUAGCACCUAUAAGAUCCUAGGAGUAUUUGUCUUCAACAGAUUUGCAGCGCAGUAGGCUUGAUAGCAAAGAUGAAGGAGCAAAAAUACUCAAAGAAGUGUUUACAAACAUGCUUGAAGUGUGAGGGUUAGUAGUAGAGGUAGACAUAGGGACUGGAUCUGUGAUUUCAUUGGAAACUCUUACUCUUACACAUUGAUACCUCAGAGAGUUGACUAGAACUCUGAGAGGUCUGACUCACCCCAGGUCACAAUGAUAGCACAUAUCAGAGAAGAGACUAGAACCCAUGUCUUCCUGACUUUGAAGUCAGUUCUCUCUCUAUUAUGCCACAGUGCUAGGGAUAUCCCAUAUAAUUACUUCCUGUCAGGAUGAAAGUGAAAAAAUCAAAGAGCCUAAAUACAUGUUCCAUAGUCACUGGGGAGACUUUUGAUCUUCUUAAAUGUGAUCUUGUAGCAGUAUUUUUCAACUCACUCAGAAGUUUUGACUCCUCUCCGUGAAAAAAGGAAGCCACGCCAAUGAUAUGCACUGGGGCUCCGAUGGAAAUUUGUCAGUACAUUGGCAUUAAUAUGAAGUUUGCUCCUGAAGUACAAAGAACAAAUCACCAACUUCUUGGGGGAAAUAGCUACCUAGAGAGAGAUGGAAAAAUUGACUGCCAAUCCAAUGUACUGUAUGAAAGCAGUAAAAAGAAGAGGAAAGAAGAAACAGGGAGAAGGAGAAGAUGAGGAAGGGAAAGGAGAAAAAGAAGAAAAAGAAACAGGAUGAGGGAGGGGACAGGGAAGGAGAGACAGUGUUUCCAGUCAUAUUUCUUCAUUCGAUAAAUUAUCAAUUCAAAGAUUAUCAAUUAAUAAUCUCUCAGUGACAUGUUCUUUCAAUGAUUUUCAUGGAACCUAUUUUCUUUAAGGAGAAAUCAUCAGAGAGAGAAAGGCAACUAAGAAAUUGACUAAGUACACAUUGAGAGGAACUGACAAAGGGUAUCCAUGAAAUUCUCUUCCACCUUGGCUAGGUUUUUCAGAGUAAUAAGGCUUUCAUAUAAUUACUAUCUUAUUCCAAAACAAUGACACAUAUUUUCAGAAUUGCCAAAAUAUAGAUAAUACUCAUUUAAAAAUUU
RNAcentral lists this long non-coding RNA (1216 nucleotides) under Monodelphis domestica (gray short-tailed opossum). Its description in RNAcentral is "lncRNA (ENSMODG00000049212.1)". Lineage: Eukaryota; Metazoa; Chordata; Mammalia; Didelphimorphia; Didelphidae. The record is from RNAcentral.